GUUUGUGAUAACUGAAAUUUCUUCACUUUGACCUGAUGACUCUUGAAGAAACCUAGUGUCUGAAA
RNAcentral lists this small nucleolar RNA (65 nucleotides) under Octodon degus (degu). RNAcentral describes it as "Small nucleolar RNA SNORD37 (ENSODEG00000025666.1)". It matches the Rfam family "Small nucleolar RNA SNORD37". Rfam says of the family: U37 is a member of the C/D class of snoRNA which contain the C (UGAUGA) and D (CUGA) box motifs. Lineage: Eukaryota; Metazoa; Chordata; Mammalia; Rodentia; Octodontidae. The record is from Rfam by way of RNAcentral.